CAAACGACUCUCGGCAACGGAUAUCCCGGCUCUCGCAUCGAUGAAGAACGUARCGAAAUGCGAUACUUGGUGUGAAUUGCARAAUCCCGUGAACCAUCSAGUUUUUGAACGCAAGUUGCGCCCGAUGCCAUUARGCUGARGGCACGUCUGCCUGGGUGUCACUU
Molecule: ribosomal RNA, 164 nt
Filed under: Bupleurum thianschanicum
Lineage: Eukaryota; Viridiplantae; Streptophyta; Magnoliopsida; Apiales; Apiaceae
Description: 5.8S ribosomal RNA
Source: RNAcentral